RNAcentral lists this long non-coding RNA (400 nucleotides) under Homo sapiens (human). Its description in RNAcentral is "non-protein coding lnc-SYPL1-6:2". Lineage: Eukaryota; Metazoa; Chordata; Mammalia; Primates; Hominidae. The record is from RNAcentral.
AGUCACUCCUUCAGCAGCCGCACAAGGCACACGCCUCGGGGAAGCCGGGCACAGGCUGGGGUUGCCUCCCUCCUGCCCCUGCCCUGCCUCCUGCCCCAGCAGACAGUGAAUAAGCCACCUGGUUGGCCCAGCUUCCCGCAGUCCCACUUCUCAAGCUAGGGUACAUGUAUCUAGGAGGACAGGACUGUGUCGCUGGGAGGUAGAGUGAGACGGAUGACAGGAGCCACAGAAUCAAAACAGCACAAUCGACUCAUCAGUUCUUUAACUUGUAAGUUCAAGUCAAACAUUACUUUUUAUUUUGCUUUACUUACUUGUUUUUUGAGACAGGGUCUUCUCUGUCGCCCAGGCUGGAGUGCAGUGGCACAGUCAUGGUUCACUACAGCCUCCAACUCCUGGGCUC